RNAcentral lists this non-coding RNA (125 nucleotides) under uncultured Mallomonas. The record is from RNAcentral. Lineage: Eukaryota; Synurophyceae; Synurales; Mallomonadaceae.
GCCUAAGUAGUGAGUGAGUGAUUAGGAUAAUUGAGAAUUCGAUAGAAAAUGCUUAUUUGGUAAUUCAUUUAAUAAGAAAAGACAAAAGGAGAAAUGAAGAAGUUUUCAAAUUCUUUUAGAUUACU